AAAAAGAUAAGUUAAGUCAAACUACUGGGCUCAUACCCCAUCUAUAAAGGUUAAAACCUUUUCUUUUUA
RNAcentral lists this transfer RNA (69 nucleotides) under Corethrella condita. RNAcentral's name for it is "tRNA-Met". It matches the Rfam family "tRNA". From Rfam's summary of the family: Transfer RNA (tRNA) molecules are approximately 80 nucleotides in length. Their secondary structure includes four short double-helical elements and three loops (D, anti-codon, and T loops). Lineage: Eukaryota; Metazoa; Arthropoda; Insecta; Diptera; Corethrellidae. The record is from RNAcentral.